Molecule: unclassified non-coding RNA, 168 nt
Filed under: uncultured Leptodontidium
Lineage: Eukaryota; Fungi; Ascomycota
Description: sequence contains ITS1
Source: RNAcentral
CAGAGUUCAUGCCCUUACGGGUAGAUCUCCCACCCUGUGUUAUUAUCACUUUGUUGCUUUGGCGGGCCGUCAGGCUCACGCCCGACCACCGGCCCCGGCUGGUGAGCGCCCGCCAGAGACCCCACAAACCCUGUCUUACAGUGUCGUCCGAGUACUAUAUAAUAGUUA